Molecule: ribosomal RNA, 756 nt
Filed under: uncultured archaeon
Lineage: Archaea
Description: bacterial SSU rRNA
Rfam family: Archaeal small subunit ribosomal RNA
Source: RNAcentral
GGAUAACCUGCCCUUGGGUCCGGCAUAACCCCGGGAAACUGGGGAUAAUACCGGAUAACGCAUAUAUGUUGGAAUUCCUUAUGCGUAAAAUGGAUUCGUCCGCCCAAGGAUGGGUCUGCGGCCUAUCAGGUAGUAGUGGGUGUAAUGUACCUACUAGCCGACGACGGGUACGGGUUGUGAGAGCAAGAGCCCGGAGAUGGAUUCUGAGACAUGAAUCCAGGCCCUACGGGGCGCAGCAGGCGCGAAAACUUUACAAUGCGGGAAACCGUGAUAAGGGGACACCGAGUGCCAGCAUCAUAUGCUGGCUGUCCGGGUGUGUAAAAUACACCUGUUAGCAAGGGCCGGGCAAGACCGGUGCCAGCCGCCGCGGUAACACCGGCGGCCCGAGUGGUGAUCGUGUUUAUUGGGUCUAAAGGGUCCGUAGCCGGUUUGGUCAGUCCUCCGGGAAAUCUGACGGCUUAACCGUUAGGCUUUCGGGGGAUACUGCCAGACUUGGAACCGGGAGAGGUAAGAGGUACUACAGGGGUAGGAGUGAAAUCUUGUAAUCCCUGUGGGACCACCUGUGGCGAAGGCGUCUUACCAGAACGGGUUCGACGGUGAGGGACGAAAGCUGGGGGCACGAACCGGAUUAGAUACCCGGGUAGUCCCAGCCGUAAACGAUGCUCGCUAGGUGUCAGGCAUGGCGCGACCGUGUCUGGUGCCGCAGGGAAGCCGUGAAGCGAGCCACCUGGGAAGUACGGCCGCAAGGCUGAAACU